Eriocheir sinensis (Chinese mitten crab) is the source of this 2158-nucleotide long non-coding RNA. RefSeq lists it as uncharacterized. The record is from RefSeq and is a predicted model, not a curated record. NCBI's taxonomy places the organism in Eukaryota, Metazoa, Arthropoda, Malacostraca, Decapoda, Varunidae. The transcript has 2 exons.
AUUUUCUACUCAAUUAUCUUUAUAAUAAGAGCGAAAUAAUAAAUAAAUGAAUAGUAAAACAGACGACUAAAGAUAAGGAACAUAUAAUAAAAAAGAAAUAUGAGAAGUAAGAAAGAAAGAGGGAAACACAGGAAGUUUUCGGAUAUUCUGUGCGCGUUCCCGAGGCCCUUCGACUUUCCAUCCCAGAAAUGAUAAAUGCGGUGAGCAGCGCAUUCACAAGAGUUACGAUUAAUUUCAUAAUCCAGUUUGGUAGUUUUAAGAAGCGAGUUCUUGCAUUCAUCCUCCGCGAGCCUCGGCGGGGAUAAGGAGCGCCAGGGAGCCCAAGGUCUCUCUGGCGAGUGUGGCAGUACUGGAGGGCUCCCCGAGGGAAGCCUUGGUGCUCCCCGGGGCGUCCGCGGAGUUACCGGAGAUCUGCACGGGUAGAUGGGGCUCGUUAGCCGUGGUAGGCAGUCCAUCUAGGAGAGCAAACUCCGAACAAUAUACCCGGGCAGGUGAGGCUCGUUAGCCGUGGUAGGCAAUUCGCCUAGGAGAGCAAACUCCGAACAAUAAACCCGGGCAGGUGGAGGUCGUUAGCGUGAGCAGUUCACCUAGGAGAGCAAACUCUGAUCAUAAACCCGGGCAGGUGGAGGUCGUUAGCGUGAGCAGUUCACCUAGGAGAAGGAAAACUCUGACCACAAACCCGGCCAGGUGGAGGUCGUUAGCCGUGGUAGGCAAUCUGCCUAGGAGAGGGACAACUCCAAACAACAAACACGGGCAGGCUGGGCUCGUUAGCCGUCAUAGGCAAUACACCUAGGAGAGCAAACUCCGAACAAAAAACCCGGACAGGUUGGGCUCGUGAGCCGUCAUAGGCAAUACACCUAGGAGAGCAAACUCCGAACAAUAAACCCGGGCAGGUUGGGCUCGUGAGCCGUCAUAGGCAAUACACCUAGGAGAGCAAACUCCGAAUAAAAAACCCGGGCAGGUUGGGCUCGUGAGCCGUCAUAGGCAAUACACCUAGGAGAGCAAACUCCGAACAAUAAACCCGGGCAGGUGGAGCUCGUUAGCGAAAGCAGUUCAUCUAGGAGAGCAAACUCCGAACAAUAAACCCGGGCAGGUGGAGCUCGUUAGCGUGAGCAGUUCAUCUAGGAGAGCAAACUCCGAUUACAAACCCGGGCAGGUGGAGGUCGUUAGCGUGAGCAGUUCACCUAGGAGAGCAAACUCCAAACAAUAAACCCGGGCAGGUGGAGCUCGUUAGCGUGAGCAGUUCACCUAGGAGAGCAAACUCCGAACAAUAAACCCGGGCAGGUGGGGCUCGUUAGCGUGAGCAGUUCAUCUAGGAGAGCAAACUCCGAUUACAAACCCGGGCAGGUGGAGCUCGUUAGCGUGAGCAGUUCACCUAGGAGAAGGAAAACUCUGACCACAAACCCGGCCAGGUGGAGGUCGUUAGCCGUGGUAGGCAAUCUGCCUAGGAGAGGGACAACUCCAAACAACAAACACGGGCAGGCUGGGCUCGUUAGCCGUCAUAGGCAAUACACCUAGGAGAGCAAACUCCGAAUAAAAAACCCGGACAGGUUGGGCUCGUGAGCCGUCAUAGGCAAUACACCUAGGAGAGCAAACUCCGAAUAAAAAACCCGGGCAGGUUGGGCUCGUGAGCCGUCAUAGGCAAUACACCUAGGAGAGCAAACUCCGAACAAUAAACCCGGGCAGGUGGAGGUCGUUAGCGAAAGCAGUUCAUCUAGGAGAGCAAACUCCGAACAAUAAACCCGGGCAGGUGGAGCUCGUUAGCCGUGGUAGGCAAUCUGCCUAGGAGAGGGACAACUCCGAACAACAAACCCGGGCAGGUGGAGCUCGUUAGCCGUGGUAGGCAAUCUGCCUAGGAGAGGGACAACUCCGAACAACAAACCCGGGCAGGAGGGGGUCGUUAGCCGUGGUAGGCAGUCCUCCUAGGAGAAGGAAAACUCCGAAAUCAAACCAACCAAACACACACACACACACACACAACCAACCAACCGGGGAGGUGGGGCUCGUUAUAGGCGUCGUAGACAAUCCACCAAGGGGAAUCAUCAAAUAAAAGGAUAAUAAAAGCGAACACACGAGAAGAAGAAUAUGAAAUUAGAACCGGACAAAAAAGGAUUAUAUAAGAUGGAACACCGAAUAAAGGAUAGUUAGGAAAACAGCA